AGCGGUGAGGAACAAUUGGUUUGUUCGCGAGGCUCAUAAUCUCGAGGUUGUAAGUUCGACUCUUACCACCGCUC
Molecule: transfer RNA, 74 nt
Filed under: Paenibacillus roseus
Lineage: Bacteria; Bacillati; Bacillota; Bacilli; Caryophanales; Paenibacillaceae
Rfam family: tRNA
About the family: Transfer RNA (tRNA) molecules are approximately 80 nucleotides in length. Their secondary structure includes four short double-helical elements and three loops (D, anti-codon, and T loops).
Source: Rfam by way of RNAcentral